GGGUUGUGAGGUUAAGCGACUAAGCGUACACGGUGGAUGCCCUGGCAGUCAGAGGCGAUGAAGGACGUGCUAAUCUGCGAUAAGCGUCGGUAAGGUGAUAUGAACCGUUAUAACCGGCGAUUUCCGAAUGGGGAAACCCAGUGUGAUUCGUCACACUAUCAUUAACUGAAUCCAUAGGUUAAUGAGGCGAACCGGGGGAACUGAAACAUCUAAGUACCCCGAGGAAAAGAAAUCAACCGAGAUUCCCCCAGUAGCGGCGAGCGAACGGGGAGCAGCCCAGAGCCUGAAUCAGUGUGUGUGUUAGUGGAAGCGUCUGGAAAGGCGCGCGAUACAGGGUGACAGCCCCGUACACAAAAAUGCACAUGCUGUGAGCUCGAUGAGUAGGGCGGGACACGUGGUAUCCUGUCUGAAUAUGGGGGGACCAUCCUCCAAGGCUAAAUACUCCUGACUGACCGAUAGUGAACCAGUACCGUGAGGGAAAGGCGAAAAGAACCCCGGCGAGGGGAGUGAAAAAGAACCUGAAACCGUGUACGUACAAGCAGUGGGAGCACGCUUAGGCGUGUGACUGCGUACCUUUUGUAUAAUGGGUCAGCGACUUAUAUUCUGUAGCAAGGUUAACCGAAUAGGGGAGCCGAAGGGAAACCGAGUCUUAACUGGGCGUUAAGUUGCAGGGUAUAGACCCGAAACCCGGUGAUCUAGCCAUGGGCAGGUUGAAGGUUGGGUAACACUAACUGGAGGACCGAACCGACUAAUGUUGAAAAAUUAGCGGAUGACUUGUGGCUGGGGGUGAAAGGCCAAUCAAACCGGGAGAUAGCUGGUUCUCCCCGAAAGCUAUUUAGGUAGCGCCUCGUGAAUUCAUCUCCGGGGGUAGAGCACUGUUUCGGCAAGGGGGUCAUCCCGACUUACCAACCCGAUGCAAACUGCGAAUACCGGAGAAUGUUAUCACGGGAGACACACGGCGGGUGCUAACGUCCGUCGUGAAGAGGGAAACAACCCAGACCGCCAGCUAAGGUCCCAAAGUCAUGGUUAAGUGGGAAACGAUGUGGGAAGGCCCAGACAGCCAGGAUGUUGGCUUAGAAGCAGCCAUCAUUUAAAGAAAGCGUAAUAGCUCACUGGUCGAGUCGGCCUGCGCGGAAGAUGUAACGGGGCUAAACCAUGCACCGAAGCUGCGGCAGCGACACUAUGUGUUGUUGGGUAGGGGAGCGUUCUGUAAGCCUGUGAAGGUGUACUGUGAGGUAUGCUGGAGGUAUCAGAAGUGCGAAUGCUGACAUAAGUAACGAUAAAGCGGGUGAAAAGCCCGCUCGCCGGAAGACCAAGGGUUCCUGUCCAACGUUAAUCGGGGCAGGGUGAGUCGACCCCUAAGGCGAGGCCGAAAGGCGUAGUCGAUGGGAAACAGGUUAAUAUUCCUGUACUUGGUGUUACUGCGAAGGGGGGACGGAGAAGGCUAUGUUGGCCGGGCGACGGUUGUCCCGGUUUAAGCGUGUAGGCUGGUUUUCCAGGCAAAUCCGGAAAAUCAAGGCUGAGGCGUGAUGACGAGGCACUACGGUGCUGAAGCAACAAAUGCCCUGCUUCCAGGAAAAGCCUCUAAGCAUCAGGUAACAUCAAAUCGUACCCCAAACCGACACAGGUGGUCAGGUAGAGAAUACCAAGGCGCUUGAGAGAACUCGGGUGAAGGAACUAGGCAAAAUGGUGCCGUAACUUCGGGAGAAGGCACGCUGAUAUGUAGGUGAAGUCCCUCGCGGAUGGAGCUGAAAUCAGUCGAAGAUACCAGCUGGCUGCAACUGUUUAUUAAAAACACAGCACUGUGCAAACACGAAAGUGGACGUAUACGGUGUGACGCCUGCCCGGUGCCGGAAGGUUAAUUGAUGGGGUUAGCGCAAGCGAAGCUCUUGAUCGAAGCCCCGGUAAACGGCGGCCGUAACUAUAACGGUCCUAAGGUAGCGAAAUUCCUUGUCGGGUAAGUUCCGACCUGCACGAAUGGCGUAAUGAUGGCCAGGCUGUCUCCACCCGAGACUCAGUGAAAUUGAACUCGCUGUGAAGAUGCAGUGUACCCGCGGCAAGACGGAAAGACCCCGUGAACCUUUACUAUAGCUUGACACUGAACAUUGAGCCUUGAUGUGUAGGAUAGGUGGGAGGCUUUGAAGUGUGGACGCCAGUCUGCAUGGAGCCGACCUUGAAAUACCACCCUUUAAUGUUUGAUGUUCUAACGUGGACCCGUAAUCCGGGUUGCGGACAGUGUCUGGUGGGUAGUUUGACUGGGGCGGUCUCCUCCUAAAGAGUAACGGAGGAGCACGAAGGUUGGCUAAUCCUGGUCGGACAUCAGGAGGUUAGUGCAAUGGCAUAAGCCAGCUUGACUGCGAGCGUGACGGCGCGAGCAGGUGCGAAAGCAGGUCAUAGUGAUCCGGUGGUUCUGAAUGGAAGGGCCAUCGCUCAACGGAUAAAAGGUACUCCGGGGAUAACAGGCUGAUACCGCCCAAGAGUUCAUAUCGACGGCGGUGUUUGGCACCUCGAUGUCGGCUCAUCACAUCCUGGGGCUGAAGUAGGUCCCAAGGGUAUGGCUGUUCGCCAUUUAAAGUGGUACGCGAGCUGGGUUUAGAACGUCGUGAGACAGUUCGGUCCCUAUCUGCCGUGGGCGCUGGAGAAUUGAGGGGGGCUGCUCCUAGUACGAGAGGACCGGAGUGGACGCAUCACUGGUGUUCGGGUUGUCAUGCCAAUGGCACUGCCCGGUAGCUAAAUGCGGAAGAGAUAAGUGCUGAAAGCAUCUAAGCACGAAACUUGCCCCGAGAUGAGUUCUCCCUGACUCCUUGAGAGUCCUGAAGGAACGUUGAAGACGACGACGUUGAUAGGCCGGGUGUGUAAGCGCAGCGAUGCGUUGAGCUAACCGGUACUAAUGAACCGUGAGGCUUAACCUUACAACGCCGAAG
Molecule: ribosomal RNA, 2924 nt
Filed under: Escherichia coli
Lineage: Bacteria; Pseudomonadati; Pseudomonadota; Gammaproteobacteria; Enterobacterales; Enterobacteriaceae
Description: bacterial LSU rRNA
Rfam family: Bacterial large subunit ribosomal RNA
Source: RNAcentral